UCUAAUGGUUGGGGUUUUUUUUUCCCACAAUUUCAGACUAAAGCAUUUAGUUUCUCUCUCCUCCUUCAUAUGCACACGUAAUUUUCUCUCUCCUCUCUUUUCUCUCUGUUUUUCUCUCUAUUCUUCUCCCUAUCAAAGGUAUUUCUCCUAUUUUUCUUCAGCAAAAACUGAUGAACUCUAAUUUUUUGUUAACUUAAGCGUUGCUAAAUUUUGUCGCUGAAUAUCACAAAUUGCUACUCGAGUUCAAUGCCAAUCUUCAAAACAUUGCUCAAAGUCAUUGAAAUUGUAGGUUUAAGUUGAAUUGAUGAUGUUGGAGUCGGGCUAUGGUGGCGAAUGGUGGAGCAAUUGGUGGUUGUUGUGUGGGCGUCCGAUAGAGAUGCGGCUGCUGCUGUUGCGGCUGGACUGCUGUGGUGGCUAUUGCGAUAGCUGGUCAUGUGAAUUGGCGGAGGUUGGUUGUGGAUUUAGAGGGUGCGUGUUGGAUGAACUACAUGGCUGGCUAGGCGAAUUAAGGUAGCUGGUGGUUAUUGUGGGAAUGCGUAGCUACUAUGUGUUGUUUUUGGGUUGCGUGGGUUGUGCUGAAGUAGGAGAGUGGCGUGGAUACUUGCAAGUUGCAGCAGGGGAGUUACAAGGUUGUUAUUGCUACUUGUUGAUGUUGUGUAGGUUAGCUGAUGGUGGGGUGAAGGUUUAGGCUGCUUAGGGGCAGGAGCAAAGGAAGGAGGGGGGGGGGGGGGGGCAGCAGCCGCCUUAUGAUGCAAAAGAACAUUCGACAAAAAAUCGAAACUCUAAACUUGAUUGGUUAUAAGCUUUAUUGUUUGCGUGUUAGAAACCUAUUAGCUUAAUUGGUUGAGCAAUGUGUACUUGUAUUACACACAUGACGUGGGUUCGAAUCCUACAUAGGUUUACAUGUAGUGAUAUUUAUAAAAUGUAUUCAAAAUUAAUCAAAUAACUUUUUUUUUUAGAGUGACCUUUAUUUAUACAUACUUACAUAGUGACCUUUAUGUAAAUGUGGUCAAAAUUGAUAGUUACCUUAUUUUGUAAAUAGUAACUUCUAUAUAAAUGUGAUCAAUGUUGUCAAAAUUGAUAUAAUUACCUUCCUUUUAUCUAUAGUGACAUUCGUUAUUUUUA
Long non-coding RNA from Chenopodium quinoa (quinoa), 1125 nucleotides. RefSeq lists it as uncharacterized. NCBI's taxonomy places the organism in Eukaryota, Viridiplantae, Streptophyta, Magnoliopsida, Caryophyllales, Amaranthaceae. The transcript has 2 exons. The record is from RefSeq and is a predicted model, not a curated record.